This 616-nucleotide ribosomal RNA is filed under the name soil fungal sp. DM2-182. Its description in RNAcentral is "eukaryotic LSU rRNA". It matches the Rfam family "Eukaryotic large subunit ribosomal RNA", at positions 113 to 762 of the family's 3401-position model. Lineage: Eukaryota; Fungi. The record is from RNAcentral.
AUUUGAAAUCUGGCUUCGGCCCGAGUUGUAAUUUGCAGAGGAAGCUUUGGGCGCGGCACCGACUGAGUCCCCUGGAACGGGGCGCCAUAGAGGGUGAGAGCCCCGUAUAGUCGGACGCUAAGCCUGUGUAAAGCUCCUUCGACGAGUCGAGUAGUUUGGGAAUGCUGCUCAAAAUGGGAGGUAAAUUUCUUCUAAAGCUAAAUACCGGCCAGAGACCGAUAGCGCACAAGUAGAGUGAUCGAAAGAUGAAAAGCACUUUGAAAAGAGGGUUAAAUAGCACGUGAAAUUGUUGAAAGGGAAGCGCUUGUGACCAGACUUGCGCCUGGCUGAUCAUCCGGUGUUCUCACCGGUGCACUCUGCCAGGCUCAGGCCAGCAUCGGUUCUCGCGGGGGGAUAAAGGCCCUGGGAACGUAGCUCCUCCGGGAGUGUUAUAGCCCAGGGUGCAAUGCCCUCGCGGGGACCGAGGUUCGCGCAUCUGCAAGGAUGCUGGCGUAAUGGUCAUCANCGACNCGUCUUGAAACACGGACCAAGGAGUCAAGGUUUUGCGCGAGUGUUUGGGUGUAAAACCCGCACGCGUAAUGAAAGUGAACNUAAGUGAGAGCUUCNGCGCAUCAUC